RNAcentral lists this transfer RNA (73 nucleotides) under Spirochaetaceae bacterium. Its description in RNAcentral is "tRNA-Pro". It matches the Rfam family "tRNA". From Rfam's summary of the family: Transfer RNA (tRNA) molecules are approximately 80 nucleotides in length. Their secondary structure includes four short double-helical elements and three loops (D, anti-codon, and T loops). The record is from RNAcentral. Lineage: Bacteria; Pseudomonadati; Spirochaetota; Spirochaetia; Spirochaetales; Spirochaetaceae.
CGGAAAGUAGGUUAGUGGCUAUACCGCCAGGUUUGGGACCUGGAUGUCGGGGGUUCGAAUCCCCCCUUUCCGA